Non-coding RNA from Equus caballus (horse), 3488 nucleotides. NCBI's taxonomy places the organism in Eukaryota, Metazoa, Chordata, Mammalia, Perissodactyla, Equidae. The record is from RefSeq and is a predicted model, not a curated record.
CCCAGCAGGGUGUGAGAGCAAAGAGGGAUCAGGCAAGAUGCCACCAGGCAGGCUGGCUGGCCUUACUGCCACCAUGUUCCACCGCUUGCAACACAACUACCCUCCCCAAGGCACACAGCUUUGAUCUGAUCAGUUUUCUAGGCUGCAGCAAUCAAACAGUGGAAUCCACAGGAAAUUAAGCUUAUUGACUGAGCCUUUGGAUAGCACAUGGAGAAGAUAUUUACACGUGUCAUCUGGGCCCGGGGCCGGAGGUUAUUGGCAGCGGGUAUUUACAGAGUUUCAAAUGACAGCUGGGGGCGGAAGCGUGGGGGACCAGCCACCCUGCCUCCCUACUCUGUGCAGAUUUCUGAGUCGGGGUCCCUUCUUCUGAGGCCCUGGUCUACCCCCAUUUGGCUGCCUUGGAUAGUGGAAGGAUUUGGGGUGAACCCAAUUGUCUGCAGCAUGUGGGAUCUGAAAAACUGACUUUUAAACCCCAAGCGGGCUUAAUGGGGCUCUCUUCAUUGACAAGGAGGAACUGCGAGCGAUGCCAUUUCUGGGUGUUUGCCUCGUGCCAUCUCUUCACGGUUCUUUGAACUAGAACUUCUCCUUGCGUCCUUUAUGACGGAGAGGGGAAAGGCAACCUUUGAGAUCCAUGACUGCUACCCCAGGGGCCUGGGGAAGGCGUGCCCAAAGAAAAAGGAACCGUAAGUAAAUAGCGACAUCAACAGCUGAUAUUUAUGGAACCCAGCGCACGUGCCAGGCGCUGAGAGGAUAUUUACAUGCAGGAUCUCAUUAAUCUCACGUGUUCUUUUGUAAUUAGAAUGAAAUCCAAGCUCCAGAUUGUGGCCUGUGAGGCCUUAUGGGAUCCAGCGCCUGCCCACCUCUAUAAACUCCUCUCUCCUCUCCUCACUCAUCCCCAGUUUCAACCAGCAGGCCAAGCUCAUUCCUGCCUCAGGACAUUUGCACAUGCCACUCCUCUGUAUGGAGUACUCUUCCCUACAUCCUUGAAUUCCAUCUGUCUGGCUUAUUCUCAUCAUUCAAAGCUAAAAGCUGGGCUCAAAUAUCACCUACCCCACACCAGCCAUUACCCAUCUCAUCACUCAGUUUAAUCUUUUUCAUAGCUCCUUUCCACGUCCUUGAAGUUUUCUCACUCACGUCUGUGCUGAGGUGUUUAUAGUCUGUUUCAUCUCGCUGGGCUCCAUGAAGUCAGGGAGCUUGGAUUCCUAGUAUGGCUGACGCCUGGAGCGAUGCUGGCACAUAGCAGAGCCUGAAUCAAUACUCGAGGAAGGAAGGAAAGGGGACCCGGGAGCUGGCACCUGGGUUUAGUUGAUCUUACUCUAAAGCCUGGGUUCCUAACCACUUGGCUACACUGCCCGAGCACAGGACACCCUGCUGAGUCGGCUUGACUUCCAAGGACAACACCAGCCCCCGGCGUUUGUGGGGAGGGGGAGAUUUCCCCACAAGGCUGAGACUUUAUUUUGUCCUAUAAACCACUUGGCUCCUCCAGCAAGGGCAGGGUGGGGGCCCGGCUUGGUUCUCACAUCUGGCCGCAGGUCUGCUCCCUGCACGCUAGGAUCAGGUUGGCGCCUCCACAAAACGCGACGUCGUGCCGUGCGGGCGCCAAUGAUGCAGACCCCCGGCGCGCUGCACUGGGAACCCGGCCCCGUGAACUCGUUAACGAUUCUACGAAUGUGUGUGAUGAACUUCCAGGCGCUCUGGACAACGCAGAGGCAAAGCAGAAAGGCGCGGCGGAAGAAAGAGUCGGCUGUUGUCAGGAGGUCUGCUUACACCCUUGCUGGGGAGCUCCCACUUUCCAGGCCUCGGUUUUCACAGCCGGCACUUCACAGGCAGCUGAGAAACGGCCGGGAAAGGUCUAUGAAAUGCCUACUACGUUCAAGACCCCACAUCCGAACACAGAGGCCGAUCAAUGAGCAGAGGAUGAAAUGGGGGCCAUGCUGGAACAUUCCACGUCAAAGCCACACAGCCUGGAUCUGAAUUCAGGCUCUCACACGAGUGGCGGGACCCUGGGGGAAGGAUACGCUUCCGCCCCGAUUCUGGGCCUUAGUUUCCUCGGCCAUCGAAUGGGACAACGGCUUGUGCCACCCGGCCUCUUCCUUCCUCAAACUUUACGUCCUCAUGCCCUGCCUGUGGGACGUCAGGUCUUCCAUCGCUCCAAGCAUGCUGAGUCGCGGGGAGUUUGCAGGUGCUGUUCCCCCUGCCUGGAACAGUCUUUCUUCCUUCCUUCAGCCACUGGCUGCUUCUCAUCCAUCUCUCAGCCUCUCCCGGCCACCCUGUAUGAAACAGCCCACUCCGCUGGAUUUGAUAGCAGCUCCUUAUUAAUUUUCCUGUUGCCACCAACGUGCAGGUAUAAAUUAAGUGCUGUUUACUGGACUCCUGUCUGUGUCUUCCACAGACGGCGAGACUGUUAGGCUCCUGAGGAAAGGGCCCACGCCUGUUGUGGUCUGCAGUGUUUUUCCAGAACCCAGCACAGCAGGAGCUCAAUAAAGAUUCAAUGAGAGAACGGAGGAAGGCUUGGCCUCUCCUCCAACCUGCAUGCCCUAAGACCUUGCUCCAACCCACUCUGCAGAGCCUCGAACACACCACUCCCAAUGCCCACGUCCACUUCUUCCUCCCGCCCCCUAAGGCAAUGGGGCUUGGGCUCUUGACCACCUGACCUGAGUCGCAUUCCUGGUUCCACCUCUUUUAGCUGUGUGAUCUUGGAAAAGUUUCUUAACCACUCUGUGCCUGAGUUUCCUUACUGUUCAAAUGGGGUUAAUGCUAACAGUACCACGUGGCACAUAAACAUGAGGGCUCCCUGUGCCUACCUCACCUGUCACACAGGUCUGACAGCUGUUCAACGAGACAGCGGUUCCCAACCCUGGCAGCCCAUCAGAAUCACCUGGGGGCUUUCGACGAUCAUGAUGCCCGGGCGGCGUCGAGAGCAACGACAUCAGCGUCUCUGGUGGGGCUUGAGCGUUAGUUCUUUCAUCGUCCUCGGUGCUUCCAACGUGGAGCCGAAAUUGAGAAUGGCUGUAAGCUCCUCCCCCUCGAAGGACCCCCUCCCUCCAGACUUCUCCGCCUGCAUCCUAGCAUCAGGUUGCAGCGUUCCCAGCUGCCAGCCAGUCUUACUUGCUCUGACUUUUCUCUAGAGCGGUGGUUCUCAGCGGGGGGCAAUUUCGCUCCCUAGGGGUCACCUGGCAAUGGCUGGAGACGUUCUGGAUCCUGACCUGGGGGCAGGUGCUACUGGCAUCCAGCAAAUAGAGACCAGAGAUGCUGCUGACCACCCCACAGUGCACAGGGCGGCCCCCGCGGGCGAGAACUACCCUGCCCCAAAGGGCAACAGUGGCGAGGCCGGGAAACCUGCCACAGAGUUCUCCCUUCUGGGAGUGUGGGGACAACGGGCCUGCUGGCAAGAGGAAGAAAGAAGGAAAAGCAAAAGGAACUUACCAUUACUGAGCAUCAGCCCCCAGCCAUGGGCCAGGCAGAUGUUUCUAGAAUAGUGACAAGAG